This 626-nucleotide ribosomal RNA is filed under the name uncultured Bacteroidales bacterium. RNAcentral's name for it is "bacterial SSU rRNA". It matches the Rfam family "Bacterial small subunit ribosomal RNA", at positions 83 to 708 of the family's 1533-position model. Lineage: Bacteria; Pseudomonadati; Bacteroidota; Bacteroidia; Bacteroidales. The record is from RNAcentral.
GUUUGAUGGCGACCGGCGCACGGGUGAGUAACACGUAUCCAACCUGCCGAUGACUCGGGGAUAGCCUUUCGAAAGAAAGAUUAAUACCCGAUGGCAUAGUUCUUCCGCAUGGUGGAACUAUUAAAGAAUUUCGGUCAUCGAUGGGGAUGCGUUCCAUUAGGUUGUUGGCGGGGUAACGGCCCACCAAGCCUUCGAUGGAUAGGGGUUCUGAGAGGAAGGUCCCCCACAUUGGAACUGAGACACGGUCCAAACUCCUACGGGAGGCAGCAGUGAGGAAUAUUGGUCAAUGGACGAGAGUCUGAACCAGCCAAGUAGCGUGAAGGAUGACUGCCCUAUGGGUUGUAAACUUCUUUUAUACGGGAAUAAAGUGAGGCACGUGUGCCUUUUUGUAUGUACCGUAUGAAUAAGGAUCGGCUAACUCCGUGCCAGCAGCCGCGGUAAUACGGAGGAUCCGAGCGUUAUCCGGAUUUAUUGGGUUUAAAGGGAGCGUAGGCGGACGCUUAAGUCAGUUGUGAAAGUUUGCGGCUCAACCGUAAAAUUGCAGUUGAUACUGGGUGUCUUGAGUACAGUAGAGGCAGGCGGAAUUCGUGGUGUAGCGGUGAAAUGCUUAGAUAUCACGAAGAACU